GAUUAUUGAGGAUAGGAUAGGCAUCUAUCGCACCCAACUUCAGGGUAUAAAGAGAUGUGGGAUACGCCUCCCCACCAAUAAUC
Molecule: non-coding RNA, 83 nt
Filed under: unclassified sequences
Description: skipping-rope RNA
Rfam family: skipping-rope RNA
About the family: Firmicutes, Fusobacteria, AlphaProteobacteria, Spirochaetes. Downstream gene
Source: Rfam by way of RNAcentral